CAUCCACCACAACAAGGAACUAUAGAAUCAUCCACCACAACAAGGAACUAUAGAAUCAUCCACCACAACAGGGAACUAUAGAAUCAUCCACCACAACAGGGAACUAUAGAAUCAUCUGCCAGAAUCUCCCUCCUUCAGAUGUCCCUCGAGACCUACCCUUCCUCUGCCUCCCUGUAAAGACUGCCGCCAACACCCUAAGGCCCUUGCGGAUUCUCUGGGGCAGGGAGGCAGACAGGACACCCAGGCAUGAUUGAACCUAUCAUGACAGCAGUGCUCCUCGACAACUGGAGGUCUAACUCCCUCCGUCAGUUCCCGCCCAAGGUCUCCAAGAUGAAGCUCUUUAAGGCCAACUCGGUGCCCCACGUCCAGGAGGACAUAUUGAAUGGUGUGGGCGGCACGGGCGGCAUGGAGGGCGCGGGUGGGCGGGCGGCCAUCAAGGUGGGCGGCACAACAGGGAGCUCAACCACAUCCAGAGGCUCCUCUAGCAGCGGCUCCUCCGGCCAAGGAGUGGGCUGCGGCGUGGUUGGGGUGGCGAUGACGUCGGCGGGGUUGACAUCGUCGACGCAGACCCUGGCGGUGACGUCGACGCCGCGGUCUCUCUCCCUGGCGUCUAUUUCGUCAGACGGCAGCAGCGACAGUCACCUGGUGGAGAGGGAGGACAUCGUCGCCCUCACUACUGCUGUCAGGGCCUUCAAGGAGGCCCUCGGCAAGCUGAAGAGGAUCUUCCACCCGGAGAGAGACAAGAACGAGACCUUACGAGUGGCCGCCCACGAACGUCUCGGGGAGGUGUUGAGGAUCUUGAGGUCUAUCUUAGAGAAAUACAGCCCCAUACAACACAAUGAGCUCCUCGCUGCUGCCUCUCACCUCAUAUCACACGUUAAUGGGUUCAGCUAUGAGGAUGAACAGGCAGACCCCACCGCCUUCCUGGAGGCUAUCGACCAGCUCGCCCUCGCCUUCUCCAGCAGGGUAUCGGAGUAUCUUAUGGGAGACAUCGACAGUUCUUCAGCUAUCCUUAACUGCUCUACCGCCUCCUCCAGGAACAAGUCUUGUGAGAACUUGGUGAGCAGCGACGGAGAGAGCACCACCGGGGAGCGAGGCGGCAUAGCUGGCGCUGAGGGAGGGUGUUUGGACCCCGGCCUGAAGGAACCAGAGGUACUCACACCCCAGCAGAUUGAUGAGUACCUUCACCGCCAUGAGCAGGGUGUGGAGUACGCGCUGCACCGUGCCAAGGUGUGGAGUAAGUACGCUAAGGACGUGAUGACGUAUAUAGAGAAGCGCGCCCAGAUGGACCUUGAGUACGCCAGGAACCUCACCAAGCUGGCGCACACAGUCAGACCUGCGCUCAAGGAGGAGAGCUUCCUGCCCUUCCAGUCUAUAUACUGCACGGCGCUGGACCAAGACAUAGAGAACACCUCCCAGCUGAGUCAGACCUGUAUCCUCCUCCAGACCCACAAGUUUAUUGAGCCCUUGACAACAAGGAGAAAUGAACACGAGAGAUCACGGAAAGUCAUCAAGGAGUCUUGGCAUAAAGAACUGAAGAGGGUCACUGAGGCCGUGUCCAACCUUAAGAAAUCCAAAGUUACUUACGUCCAGCGUCACCAGGAGUUGAUGAAGAUGAGGGAACUAUUAUCAAGAGCAGAAUACACAGAAGGACUGGAAAAACUAGAAAGAAAGCGGGAUGAGGCCUACCAAAAGGCGAAGGAGGCAGAGACCUGGUACAAGACGUGUGUCGCCGAUGCUAAUGAGCGCCACGCCUCCCUCCUCAAGGUCAAGCGUGAGGUGCUUGUACAGGCGCGCGAGCUCAUCCUUCAGUGUGACCAAACCAUGAAGGCAGUUACUGUCGGCUACUUCCAGCUCCAACACACCGUGGCCGCCCCGGCCCCUGUACAGCUUCAGACACUCUGUGAGAGCUCAAGGCUAUAUGAGCCGGGGUCUCAAUAUAUGGAAUUUGUGAAGCGACUCGGUCCUUCGCUCGGUCAGGAGCAACCGGAGACGCCCUUCACCUUCCAGCCGUACACACCGGGCACCCAGGACCCACCCAACCAUGACCCUACCGCUAAUGGCUCCAUGACCUCCACCGAUGACCUCCAAGUGGGUGGGGUUGGUGGCCACGGGGGCAGUGAUACGGACAGUGUGGGUUCGUCACAUUCGGCCAAGAGUGUGGACGCCUCGCCCACGGCCUCGCCUCUCGCCCCAGCUCGACGCACUCACACCAUCUCUUCCGGGGAUGAGUUGGAGACUGACCCUGACACUGCGGACGCCCACUACAAUUACGGCGCCGCCAGACGUCAGGUGAUGAGCAAGGCUGCCGUCACCCACACCUUCAGGAAGCUCAAGACGCCCUCGAGGUGUCGGGAGUGUGAUUCCUACGUCUACUUUCACGGCUACGAGUGUGCUGAGUGUGGUCUAGGGUGUCAUAAAAAGUGCCUGGAGACACUAGCCAUACAGUGUGGUCACAAGAGACUGCCCCGGAAGAUGACAACCUUUGGGGUGGACUUGGCGCAGCACCUGUGUGAGACGAACACAUCCAUACCUCAUCUGGUGGUCAAGUGUGUGGCUGAGAUUGAUGCUCGAGGUACCAAAAUCAAGGGCAUCUACCGGGUGUCGGGCGUCAAGAGCCGGGUGGAGAAGUUAUGUCAGGCCUUUGAGAAUGGCGCCAACCUCGUCGAUCUCACCGACCAACACCCAAAUGUGAUCGCCAACGUCCUCAAGCUCUACCUCCGUCAGCUGCCAGAGCCCCUCCUCACCUUCAGGCUCUACCCAGAGUUUAUCAGGAUUGCCAAGGAGUGUCCCACAGGAGGCGAGUGUGGCCGCACGACAGAGGACCUGAGAGACCUAGUGCGUCGACUGCCUCGCCACCACUUCACCUGCCUGGCUCUCCUCAUGCAUCACCUGCACCGUGUCACCUUACAUGCUCACCUCAACAACAUGCCUUCCUCCAAUCUAGGUAUUGUGUUUGGACCAACGUUGCUACGGACAUCAGAAGGCUCGGCGUCCCUCAGUUCAUUGGUCGACACUGUACACCAGACUCGGGCCAUUGAACUGCUUAUUAUGUUCGCCAAUGAGAUCUUCGGCCAGCCAGAGCACUACCAGGUACCUGCGUCAGCUCGCUCCUUAGAUGAGGUUCUCAAGGCUCCAACACCAAGCAGACAGACGAGCGUUCACACCAGCAGCAGUAGUGGGGUGGUCAACGUGGCUAUCUCCGGCUACAAGCGACCGCCUUCCGAAAUGGUGGGUCUGGCAGAGGACUCCCCAUCCACACCCACCCCCACCCCCACCCACCCAACGCCCACACCCCCACCACACCACCAUGCCCCGAAGGAGAGAAAAGACUCUGAUGUAUUAGAGGAGGACUGGGAUUGCGAGAAUUGGGAAGAGUCGGGGACAGAGGGAGGUGGAGUGAGCGAUGUGGUCAGUAGUGGUCCACGGGGGUCGUCUACCAGGUCCACCACGGCCCACGCCAAAAUAUACAAGACUUCCCUGAGAGAUUAUGUCGGCCUGGAAGGGGUGGCGCUACACAUGUCAACGGGGUUACACACGGCCCAGGAUGCGGUGGACGUGGUGCACCAGAAGCUGAGGAAGACUGUGAGUGACAUCUCCUCCUCCUUGCGGCCCCCCACCACCCACGACCUGCCCCGGAGAGCCACCAUAGAUGAGGCCACCAGAAGAGGGCCCCAGGAGGAUGACAGGAAACACCACGACCAUCCUGCCAGAAGAAAAGCCCCAGAAGACCCACAUAGAAGACACAUCUCUGAAGACCUGAGAAGAAAGGCCACAUCAGAGGAAGUUGGGAGAAAGUCAACGACGGAGGAGUUGACAAGAAGAGGAGAGGACGAUAGAUUGAGUCAGCAGGAGGAUCGACCUCGACAACCACAGAGCACUUCAGGCGCCAUGUUGGCUAGGGCUCAGGCGCUUUAUAAGAGUGCCUCUAAGGGCAGCAUGAGCGAGACCGAGCUUAAGGUGGAGGUCCGGGCGUCGUCAGGGGUUAACAAAGGUGAGAGUCGUGAUGCCAGUAGCCAGGACCUUGGCACCUCCACCAGCAGCGUCCCCAUCCCCGGCACCCGCAGAGUGUCACCUCACUUGGGUCAUCGCCCCAGUCUAGGUCAAAAAUCAGGGUUGACCAGUGGCACAGACUCCUCAAUAGACUCUGACCACAGCUACGACUAUGGUCACCACACACAUGCCCUCACCCCCUCCGCUACCCACACUUCCACUCCCAUCUUGCCUCCCCGAGGACGGAGCGAGUUGGCGACGAGCGGGGCCUCCAGGGGCGUGUCUGUGUCACGGGACCCCUCGCUGGACAAUGUGACCUCGUCGGUGACUUCGUCGGACUCAUCGUCUCAGGAGGUAGACUCAGCCCAUGCCACAGAGGACUCUCACAGCUCUGAAGCCGCUGAUGAACCUGACACUGCCCGCACCAUCACCUACUCCUCCGCACACUUUGCACGAUCCACAAGUGAAGACUCCAGCUCUAGUAGUUCUUAAACCAAAACUUAAACAAUUCCAGAACUAAAAAAAAAAAAAAAUAAAAAAUAAAAAUAUCCAAUCAAGUAACUGGCAACUUUUGUGUUGUGGUGGCAGCAGCGGCGGGGAGUCCGGCUACGUGUCUCCCUACCUGAGCACCGAACGAGGCGGCCUGGUCACCCUCGGCCCCUCCUUGCUCCUCACCAGGUCCACCAUCG
RNAcentral lists this unclassified non-coding RNA (4682 nucleotides) under Homarus americanus (American lobster). RNAcentral's name for it is "rho GTPase-activating protein 45-like, transcript variant X7". The record is from RNAcentral. Lineage: Eukaryota; Metazoa; Arthropoda; Malacostraca; Decapoda; Nephropidae.